Molecule: ribosomal RNA, 253 nt
Filed under: uncultured bacterium
Lineage: Bacteria
Description: partial 16S ribosomal RNA
Rfam family: Bacterial small subunit ribosomal RNA
Source: RNAcentral
UACAGAGGUCUCAAGCGUUGUUCGGAUUCAUUGGGCGUAAGGGGCGCGUAGGUGGCGCCAUAAGUCGGGUGUGAAAUCUCGGGGCUUAACUCCGAAACUGCAUUCGAUACUGUGGUGCUUGAGGACUGGAGAGGAGACUGGAAUUCAUGGUGUAGCAGUGAAAUGCGUAGAGAUCAUGAGGAAGACCAGUGGCGAAGGCGGGUCUCUGGACAGUUCCUGACACUGAGGCACGAAGGCCAGGGGAGCAAACGGG